RNAcentral lists this ribosomal RNA (812 nucleotides) under uncultured bacterium. RNAcentral describes it as "bacterial SSU rRNA". It matches the Rfam family "Bacterial small subunit ribosomal RNA", at positions 69 to 890 of the family's 1533-position model. The record is from RNAcentral.
GAGAUCGCUCCUACCCGGAGCGAGUACGGUGGCGAACGGGUGCGUACCGCGUGACCAGAUGGGGAUGAGAGGAGAACAACUACGGGAAACUGUAGCUAAUACUCCAUAACGUCUGAACCCCACAUGGGCACCAGAUCAAAGCUUUAUGCGCUCAGGGAUGGGGUCGCGUCGGAUUAGCUCGUUGGUGAGGUAACGGCUCACCACGGCAACAAUCCCUGGCUGGGCUGAGAGGAUGAUCAUCCACCCUGGCGCUGAGACGCGGGCCCUACUCCUACGGGAGGCACCCUUGGGGAAUCUUACGCAAUGGGGGAAACCCUGACCUAGCCGUGCCGCGUGGAUGAAUACACCCCUAUGGGGCGUAAACUCCUUUUCUACCGGAAGAAAACCCUGUUUUGCCCGGCGUGACCGUUCCGUACGAAUAAGCACCGGCUAACUCCGUGCCCGCUGCCGCGGUAAUACGGAGGGUGCAAGCGUUGUCCGGAAUCACUGGGCGUAAAGGGUGUGCCCGUGGGACAGCCAGGCAAAUGUGAAAGACCAUGGCGUACCCGUGGAACUGCCUUUGUGACUGCUUUUCUUGAGUCCCGGAGAGGUGGCUGGAAUUCGUGGUGAACCCCUGAAAUGCGUACAUAUCACUAGGAACACCUUAAGCGUAAGCGACCAACUCGUGGGGGACUGACAUGAGGCAUGAGAGCGUAGGCACAAACAAGAUUAUAUACCCUGGUAUCCCGCUGUAGAGAUGAAUGCUCGCCUUAUCUUUCUUGAGAAGCACUGGCAAUUUAGCCCGUAAGUUUCCCCCGGGGAUUUCAACCCCG